RNAcentral lists this ribosomal RNA (468 nucleotides) under uncultured bacterium. Its description in RNAcentral is "bacterial SSU rRNA". It matches the Rfam family "Bacterial small subunit ribosomal RNA", at positions 26 to 518 of the family's 1533-position model. The record is from RNAcentral.
CUAGGAUUAACGCUGGCGGCGUGCCUAAUACAUGCAAGUCGAAUGGUAGCAAUACCAUGGCGAACGGGUGAGUAACACGUAGGUAGCCUGUCUUUAAGCCGAGGAUAACCAUUGGAAACGAUGGAUAAUACUGGAUAGGACAUUUGAAGGCAUCUUUAGAUGUUUAAAGAUUUAUCACUUAGAGAGGGGCCUGCGGCGCAUUAGCUAGUUGGUGAGGUGAAGGCUUACCAAGGCGAUGAUGCGUAGCCGGACUGAGAGGUUGAACGGCCACAAUGGAACUGAGAACGGUCCAUACUCCUACGGGAGGCAGCAGUAGGGAAUUUUCGGCAAUGGGCGGAAGCCUGAACCCGAGCAACGCCGCGUGAACGAAGAAGUAUUUCGGUAUGUAAAGUUCUUUUAUUAGGGACGAAAAGACAGAUUGACGGUACCUAAUGAAUAAGCUCCGGCUAACUACGUGCCAGCCGCUGC